This 497-nucleotide ribosomal RNA is filed under the name uncultured bacterium. Its description in RNAcentral is "partial 16S ribosomal RNA". It matches the Rfam family "Bacterial small subunit ribosomal RNA", at positions 28 to 507 of the family's 1533-position model. The record is from RNAcentral.
GAUGAACGCUGGCGGCGUGCCUAAUACAUGCAAGUCGAGCGAACGAACGAGAAGCUUGCUUCUCUGAUGUUAGCGGCGGACGGGUGAGUAACACGUGGAUAACCUACCUAUAAGACUGGGAUAACUUCGGGAAACCGGAGCUAAUACCGGAUAAUAUUUUGAACCGCAUGGUUCAAAAGUGAAAGACGGUCUUGCUGUCACUUAUAGAUGGAUCCGCGCUGCAUUAGCUAGUUGGUAAGGUAACGGCUUACCAAGGCAACGAUGCAUAGCCGACCUGAGAGGGUGAUCGGCCACACUGGAACUGAGACACGGUCCAGACUCCUACGGGAGGCAGCAGUAGGGAAUCUUCCGCAAAGGGCGAAAGCCUGACGGAGCAACGCCGCGUGAGUGAUGAAGGUCUUCGGAUCGUAAAACUCUGUUAUUAGGGAAGAACAUAUGUGUAAGUAACUGUGCACAUCUUGACGGUACCUAAUCAGAAAGCCACGGCUAACUACGUG